AGGAUGCUGUGAUUUGGGAUUCAUCGAUGAGGGUUCAACAAAUGUGCAGCUACUCGACCCUACUGGUGGUGUGGUGAUAUAGCUGCCAUGAAUCAAUCCACACUACAACAAAAAAGGACUAGUCAUCAACCCAUUAAUGAAUGUUCAAGACCUUUUUCUAAAGUAGCCACAGUGAUUCAGCACACCCUAUGAACCAGAGAUUGGGGAAAAAUGAAAUUCUGACACCAAGCAAAACAAUACCAUGCUAUGAGGAUCUCUACUGUCCUGUGUGCUGUGACAUCUUCAGGGACCCUGUCCUACUAGAAUGUAGCCACAGCUUUUGUAAGAACUGCCUUCAGCGCUACUGGGACACAUCAGCCUGCAGAGAGUGCCCUGUAUGCAGGAGAAGAGCCUCAGAGCGCACCCCUCCCCCCAACCGGGGCCCUGAAGAACCUCUGUCAGGCUUUUCCACAGGGCACUGGUCAGAGCUCAAUUAAGGAAAAGAAGCUGCUCUGUAACCUGCAUAGAGAGAGACUCAAAGUCUUCUGCCUGGCAGACAACCAGCUCAUUUGUGUGAUGUGCAAAGCAUCGAGAAUACACAAGAACCAUGACUGCUCACGCGUAGAGGAGGCAGCACAUGAUUGCAAGAAUGAACUCCAAGCAACGCUAAAGAACUUACAGGAUACACAGGACUCCCUCAUUAAGCAGAAGGGGACCUCUGAAAAGAUGCUUGAGCACAUUAAGAAUCAGUCCCUGGCAACAGAGAAGCAGAUAUCUGAUGAGUUUUUAAAAACUCCACGAGUUCCUGAGUGAAGAAGAGGCAGUGCGGUUAGUUGCUUUGAAGGAGGAAGAGGAGAAGAUUGGAAAGAUGAAGCGUAUGAUGGCGAAGGCAGCAGCAGGGGUGCUGUCCCUUAUAGAGACAAUUACAGUCCUGACACAGAUGACUGCUGCUGCAGACAUUACAAUUCUCCAGGUUUGUGCUAGCACAAUUUACACAUCACAAACUAAAUGAAGCCAAAAUAAAUCACUUUGGAGCAUAACAAAGCGACUCUGCGCUUAGGCUGAUCUCUGACCCGCUAGUACCUCCCCUGGUCCAAGGGGAAUGACACAACUUCAUAUUUAAACACAUGGGUACUUUACUGCCAUACUUAUGCACAACUCACAGAGAAUAUAUAAAGGCCCUGACACACAACAGCACUCGGUGUCAGACGUUGCCAGUAACCAAUGAGAAAGCCUUCUUUGAAAUCGAAGAAGGCUGCCAUUUUGCCUGUGGCAACUCAUCCAAUGGCACCGGCUUAGCACAAGAAUCCCCAUGUUCUAAAAAGGCUCUCUGUAUGACAGGAAUGUAGAAAAUCAC
Esox lucius (northern pike) is the source of this 1336-nucleotide long non-coding RNA. RefSeq lists it as uncharacterized. Lineage: Eukaryota; Metazoa; Chordata; Actinopteri; Esociformes; Esocidae. The transcript has 4 exons. The record is from RefSeq and is a predicted model, not a curated record.